RNAcentral lists this transfer RNA (68 nucleotides) under Stylephorus chordatus (tube-eye). Its description in RNAcentral is "tRNA-Phe". It matches the Rfam family "tRNA". Rfam says of the family: Transfer RNA (tRNA) molecules are approximately 80 nucleotides in length. Their secondary structure includes four short double-helical elements and three loops (D, anti-codon, and T loops). Further hydrogen bonds mediate the characteristic L-shaped molecular structure. tRNAs have two regions of fundamental functional importance: the anti-codon, which is responsible for specific mRNA codon recognition, and the 3' end, to which the tRNAs corresponding amino acid is attached (by aminoacyl-tRNA synthetases). tRNAs cope with the degeneracy of the genetic code in two manners: having more than one tRNA (with a specific anti-codon) for a particular amino acid; and 'wobble' base-pairing, i.e. permitting non-standard base-pairing at the 3rd anti-codon position. Lineage: Eukaryota; Metazoa; Chordata; Actinopteri; Stylephoriformes; Stylephoridae. The record is from RNAcentral.
GCGAUCGUAGCUUAACUAAAGCAUAACACUGAAAAUGUUAAGACGGGCCUUAGAACGCCUCGGAAGCA